GAUCUUACAGGGUACUGCUACUGGUAUCGUGAUUUCAUGUACCAUAUAUACCUCGCUGUAGGCGGCGGCGGCGGCGGCCAUGGACUUCGUGCUCCAGGUCCUGCUGCGGGUGGUGAUGAGAAGAAGCAUCCGCAGGCUGCAAGAGGUCGUUGACAUCGCCGUGGACAUCGGCACGGCUGUCUUCGUGGCCGUGCGGGUCUCCGGCCUCGUCUUCCGCCGCCGGCUGCCCACGCCGACUACGACAUCGUCGUCGUCGACGACGUACUACUACUCCCCGGGGACGUCCUCCUCGAUCGGCAUGCAUGUCCAGGAGGAUUAAUUAUUGACAGGCACUAGAUGAGCUAGCUAGCUAGCUAGGGCCAGAAGAUGUAUACUUCUCGCGGGGGCAUGUAAGUACUAAGGUCAUAUAUCUGUGCGUUCUUUUUUGUGGAAUCAAACUAAUUUCGCUAGCUACCCUAAUAUAUAUGUUGUGCUACUGCUCUACCUAUAUACAUGUGUAAUUUGAGGAAUUGAGGCCGCAAAUCAAAACAAA
This 532-nucleotide long non-coding RNA is filed under the name Zea mays. Its description in RNAcentral is "drought-responsive long non-coding RNA". Lineage: Eukaryota; Viridiplantae; Streptophyta; Magnoliopsida; Poales; Poaceae. The record is from RNAcentral.